GACGAACGCUGGCGGCGUGCUUAACACAUGCAAGUCGAACGGAAAGGCCCGGCGUUUGUGGGGUGCUCGAUUGGCGAACGGGUGAGUAACACGUGAGUAACCUGCCCUUAACUUUGGGAGAACAUCAGGAAACUGGGGCUAAUACCGGAUAUGAGCUCCUGCUGCGUGUUGUUGGUUGGAGAAUUUCGGCGGUUGGGUAUGUACUCGCGGCUUAUCAGCUUGUUGGUGUGGUAGUGGCGUACCAGGGCUUUGACGGGUAGGCUGCCUGAGAGGGUGACCGGCCUCAUUGCGACUGAGAUACGGACCAGACUCCUACGGGAGGCAGCAGUGGGGAAUAUUGCACAAUGGGCGGACGCCUGAUGCAGCAACGCCGCGUGCGGGAUGACGGCCUUCGGGUUGUAAACCGCUUUCGCAUGUGACGAACAGUGCGUGACGGUAAUGGGUAAAGAAGCACCGGCUAACUACGUG
This 468-nucleotide ribosomal RNA is filed under the name uncultured bacterium. RNAcentral describes it as "partial 16S ribosomal RNA". It matches the Rfam family "Bacterial small subunit ribosomal RNA", at positions 28 to 507 of the family's 1533-position model. The record is from RNAcentral.